UUGUUGUGCAGCAAACACAACAUACAAUUACAUACCUGAAUACCCCGGAAGUACGAGUCAGAAGCAGCAAAUGUUUGACGGGAAUAGCCUUAUAAACAGCCGAUAACCUGAGUUCAGAAACAUCAUGGGUAUCUGUGGAUCGUCGCCAUUUCCUGAUUCUUCGGAAUGGAAACCCACCCUUAAGACGGGCGAUUCCACGACAAAGAGUCUGAGCGAGCGAGCAUCAGAGCGAGCAUCAGAGCGAGCAUCAGAGCUUAGAGCUCAGAGUCAGAAGAAAGCUGACAAGGUGGAAUCCAUGGAGUAUGACGCUGAUGGGAGAAAGAAGGAAGGGGCGAAAACAUUUGUUUCCAAAACCCUUUUGAGUAAAUUUUCAGACUAACAGCACACACAACGAACUGACACUAAGAUUUUCGUGAUGUUCGAGUAUUUACAAAGUAAGAUAGCACUCUAAAUAUUCAGUGGUCUUCUAGCUAUUUUCAUGUGUCUUAAAAUACUUUAGCUGUUACAAAGGCCAGAAUAUAUUUUAAAGGUUGGUGGAUUUUUUAACCCCAAAAUAUCUUUUUGGGAUUUCCUGAAAAUGAGGGCUGCAGGAAUAGAGAAGGAAACAAUUUCAGAUUACCUCUUUCCGUAACAGGGCGGUCGGGUAGCCAAGUGGUUAAAGCGCUCGCUCGUCACAUCGAAGAACCGGGUUCGAUUCUCGACAUGGGUAUAAUGUGUGAAGCCCAUUUCUGGUGUCCCGCCGCCGUGAUAUUGCUGGAAUAUAGCUUAAACCAUACUCACUCACUCUUUCCGUAAUAGACACAUAUGUCUCGCGAUUUGACAUAAUUCGUCAUGUUUUGCAUUUAUUUACAACCAUAGAAACAGUAAAUGAAGUUUCUAAAAUUUAUUUCUGCCCAACAGAAUACAAACUACACUGCUUUUGAUUUUUCUUUGUCACAUAUAAAAGUUUAGGAGUCGGAAAACUCGUAACCCAAGUGUGAAAAAAGUCUUGCCUAAAAGUUAACAAACAUGGUAUCAUCUCUGUGCACAGAGAGUAUAUUGCACGCAUUUUGAAGAUUGUUUUGUGUCUGGCAUCAUCUGUAAAUAAAUCUGUACCACGUGACGGUGAUUGCA
This is a long non-coding RNA of Haliotis rufescens (red abalone), 1113 nucleotides long. RefSeq lists it as uncharacterized. The record is from RefSeq and is a predicted model, not a curated record. NCBI's taxonomy places the organism in Eukaryota, Metazoa, Mollusca, Gastropoda, Lepetellida, Haliotidae. The transcript is spliced from 3 exons.